CUUUUGUAUAAUGGGUCAGCGACUUAUAUUCUGUAGCAAGGUUAACCGAAUAGGGGAGCCGAAGGGAAACCGAGUCUUAACUGGGCGUUAAGUUGCAGGGUAUAGACCCGAAACCCGGUGAUCUAGCCAUGGGCAGGUUGAAGGUUGGGUAACACUAACUGGAGGACCGAACCGACUAAUGUUGAAAAAUUAGCGGAUGACUUGUGGCUGGGGGUGAAAGGCCAAUCAAACCGGGAGAUAGCUGGUUCUCCCCGAAAGCUAUUUAGGUAGCGCCUCGUGAAUUCAUCUCCGGGGGUAGAGCACUGUUUCGGCAAGGGGGUCAUCCCGACUUACCAACCCGAUGCAAACUGCGAAUACCGGAGAAUGUUAUCACGGGAGACACACGGCGGGUGCUAACGUCCGUCGUGAAGAGGGAAACAACCCAGACCGCCAGCUAAGGUCCCAAAGUCAUGGUUAAGUGGGAAACGAUGUGGGAAGGCCCAGACAGCCAGGAUGUUGGCUUAGAAGCAGCCAUCAUUUAAAGAAAGCGUAAUAGCUCACUGGUCGAGUCGGCCUGCGCGGAAGAUGUAACGGGGCUAAACCAUGCACCGAAGCUGCGGCAGCGACACUAUGUGUUGUUGGGUAGGGGAGCGUUCUGUAAGCCUGUGAAGGUGUGCUGUGAGGCAUGCUGGAGGUAUCAGAAGUGCGAAUGCUGACAUAAGUAACGAUAAAGCGGGUGAAAAGCCCGCUCGCCGGAAGACCAAGGGUUCCUGUCCAACGUUAAUCGGGGCAGGGUGAGUCGACCCCUAAGGCGAGGCCGAAAGGCGUAGUCGAUGGGAAACAGGUUAAUAUUCCUGUACUUGGUGUUACUGCGAAGGGGGGACGGAGAAGGCUAUGUUGGCCGGGCGACGGUUGUCCCGGUUUAAGCGUGUAGGCUGGUUUUCCAGGCAAAUCCGGAAAAUCAAGGCUGAGGCGUGAUGACGAGGCACUACGGUGCUGAAGCAACAAAUGCCCUGCUUCCAGGAAAAGCCUCUAAGCAUCAGGUAACAUCAAAUCGUACCCCAAACCGACACAGGUGGUCAGGUAGAGAAUACCAAGGCGCUUGAGAGAACUCGGGUGAAGGAACUAGGCAAAAUGGUGCCGUAACUUCGGGAGAAGGCACGCUGAUAUGUAGGUGAAGUCCCUCGCGGAUGGAGCUGAAAUCAGUCGAAGAUACCAGCUGGCUGCAACUGUUUAUUAAAAACACAGCACUGUGCAAACACGAAAGUGGACGUAUACGGUGUGACGCCUGCCCGGUGCCGGAAGGUUAAUUGAUGGGGUUAGCCG
This 1305-nucleotide ribosomal RNA is filed under the name Escherichia coli. RNAcentral describes it as "partial 23S ribosomal RNA". It matches the Rfam family "Bacterial large subunit ribosomal RNA", at positions 605 to 1896 of the family's 2925-position model. Lineage: Bacteria; Pseudomonadati; Pseudomonadota; Gammaproteobacteria; Enterobacterales; Enterobacteriaceae. The record is from RNAcentral.